Molecule: non-coding RNA, 69 nt
Filed under: uncultured Enterovibrio sp.
Lineage: Bacteria; Pseudomonadati; Pseudomonadota; Gammaproteobacteria; Vibrionales; Vibrionaceae
Description: RpsF leader
Rfam family: RpsF leader
About the family: Conserved and widely distributed to many bacterial species RNA structure. It precedes operon containing rpsF, which encodes ribosomal protein S6.
Source: RNAcentral
UUAUAUUCGUUCCUUGCUUCCGUUGGAUGACUGAGCCAGCUUGGAAGCUGAAUAAUCCGUAAGGAGCAA